UGGGGCACGGUUUAAUUUCAUUUUAAAUAUAGCUUCUGUGCAUUCUUCUUCAGUUAUUUCUCCUUCGCAAGUAUCACUUUCACUUUCACUUAAUUUUUUAUGUUUUUUAAUAUCAUUUAAAUAAUUUUGUGUUUCUUGUAAAUUUGGAUUUGUUGACGUGUAUAAAUCUUUAUAAUAUUUUACUUCAAGGUUUAAUAUUUUUUCAUGAUCCCUAGUUAUCUCCCCUUUUUCAUCAUAUAGUUGUGUUAUUGUUUUUUUUGCUUUGCCUAGAUUUCUCAAGACCUAGAAAAUAAGCUGAAUUUCUUUCACCCUCUUCCACCCAUUUUGCUCUAGCUCUAAUUUGGUUACCCUUUAUUUUUUCAUAGUAAAGCUUUCCUAAUUUUUCUUCUGUAUAUUCUAUUGUUUGCAAUAAACUUGUUUUAGUUGUAUUAUUGUUUUCAGUAUCAGCUAGGAUAUUAAGUCUUUGUAAGUCUUUUUCUAAAAUGUUUAUAUUAUCUCUUUUUUCCUUAGCUUUAGAUUUGCAAUAAUUGAUUGAAAUAUCUCUUACCUCAGUUUUAAAGUUAUCCCAUAGUAGGUCGAGAUCGGGAUAAUUUAUACUUUUGUUUUUAUAAUUAGUUAUCAAAUUAGAAAUUGUUUUCACAUAGUCCUCAUUAUCUAAUAUACUGCUAUUCAAUUUCCAGUAUCCCCUGCCUUUAGGACCUCUAUUUAAAUCUAUUUUUAGUGAGACACAAUUAUGAUCAGUAUGUUGCAGAACUAUAGGUCUUAUAUCGAAUGAAAUGGAGUUUUUGUAACCUUCAGGUCCUAUUAAAAAAAUAGUCAAUUCUUGUUGCUUCAGAUCUAUCUUUUCUACACCAAGUGAACUGUGUUUUAUGUUUGUUUUUCUCUCUCCAAACAUCUAUAACUUUUAAUGAUUUGAUUAAUUUGUUGAGAUUACAGACUGGUUUUUU
This 947-nucleotide long non-coding RNA is filed under the name Mytilus galloprovincialis (Mediterranean mussel). Lineage: Eukaryota; Metazoa; Mollusca; Bivalvia; Mytilida; Mytilidae. The record is from RNAcentral.